GUCUGCAGCCAUACCACCCUGAACGCAGCAAGUCUCAUCUGACCUGGGAGGCUUAGCAGGGUCAGGCCUCAGUAGUACCUGGAAGGAAAUGAAGCACACAGGAU
RNAcentral lists this ribosomal RNA (104 nucleotides) under Nomascus leucogenys (northern white-cheeked gibbon). Lineage: Eukaryota; Metazoa; Chordata; Mammalia; Primates; Hylobatidae. The record is from RNAcentral.